Molecule: ribosomal RNA, 1419 nt
Filed under: uncultured bacterium
Lineage: Bacteria
Description: 16S ribosomal RNA
Rfam family: Bacterial small subunit ribosomal RNA
Source: RNAcentral
AGAGUUUGAUCCUGGCUCAGAACGAACGCUGGCAGCGUGGAUUAGGCAUGCAAGUCGAACGGGAUCAGGCGUGGUAGCAAUACUAUGUUUGUGAGAGUGGCGGAAGGGCGAGGAAGGCAUGGACAACCUGUCUUCAGGGUGGGGAUAACCCCGCGAAAGCGGGGCUAAUACCGAAUGUGGCGUAUGGGGCGCAUGCUCUAUGCGUUAAAGGUGGGGAUCGCAAGACCUGCCCCCUGAUGAGGGGUCCGUGUGCCAUCAGCUUGUUGGUGGGGUAACGGCCUACCAAGGCAUACGGCUAGCUGGUCUGAGAGGAUGAUCAGCCGCACUGGGACUGAGACACUGCCCAGACUCCUACGGGGGGCCGCAGUCGAGGAUCAUUCGCAAUGGGGGGAACCCUGACGAUGCGACGCUGCGUGGAGGAUGACGGCCUUCGGGUUGUAAACUCCUGUCAUGGGGGAAGAGCUAUGGGGGGUUAAUAGCCUCUCUGAUGGACGGUACCCCAAGAGGAAGCCACGGCUGACUCUGUGCCAGCAGCCGCGGUAAUACAGAGGUGGCGAGCGUUGUUCGGAUUUACUGGGCGUAAAGGGCGCGUAGGCGGCGCAGUGUGUCAGGUGUGAAAUCCAUGGGCUCAACCCAUGAAGUGCGCCUGAAACUGCUGUGCUUGAGUGCGGGAGGGGAGACUGGAAUACAGGGUGUAGCGGUGAAAUGCGUUGAUAUCCUGUAGAACACCGGUGGCGAAGGCGGGUCUCUGGAACGCAACUGACGCUGAGGCGCGAAAGCGGGGGGAGCAAACAGGAUUAGAUACCCUGGUAGUCCCCGCCCUAAACGUUGCACACUUGAGGUAGGGGGAUUUCACCCCCUCUGUCUCGGAGCUAACGCGUUAAGUGUGCCGCCUGGGGAGUACGGCCGCAAGGCUAAAACUCAAAGAAAUUGACGGGGACCCGCACAAGCAGAGGAGCAUGUGGCUUAAUUCGAUGCAACGCGAAGAACCUUACCCGGGUUUGACAUGUAACUGCUACUCCCAUGAAAGUGGGAUUCCUUCGAGGGUGUUACACAGGUGCUGCAUGGCUGUCGUCAGUUCGUGCCGUGAGGUGUUUGGUUAAGUCCAGCAACGAACGCAACCCCUGUGUCCAGUUGCCAUCAGGUAGUGCUGGGAACUCUGGACAGACUGCCCGUUUACGCGGGAGGAAGGUGGGGACGACGUCAAGUCAGUAUGGCCCUUACAUCCGGGGCUGCACACGUGCUACAAUGGCCGGUACAAUGGGAAGCUUGGCUGCGAGGCCUGGCCAACCCCCAAAACCGGCCCCAGUUCAGAUCGGGGCCUGCAACCCGACCCCGUGAAGUCGGAUUUGCUAGUAACGGCGCAUCAGCUACGGCGCCGUGAAUACGUUCCUCGGGUCUUGCACACACCGCCCGUCA